RNAcentral lists this long non-coding RNA (302 nucleotides) under Gallus gallus (chicken). The record is from RNAcentral. Lineage: Eukaryota; Metazoa; Chordata; Aves; Galliformes; Phasianidae.
AGAAGAUAGAGUCCAGCAUAUCGUGAUUCAGUGCAACAGAGAGACAAUUACUAAAUCCUCUGCUUUCUGCUGCCUGCAGCAUUUUCAGCGUUUUAUCUACUGGAAAGGAGAGCGGUGGUCUCGAGCACGGUGUCACCACGGCAGUAAGCACAGAGGCACAGCUCACACACCGCCGCCCAUUCACAUUGCACACAACAAACGCUCGUACAACCGCAGCAGCUCGAGAGGUUUACCAACAGCUCUGCCAACAGCUCCUAUUACUGCAUGGUUCUGGGAAUUGAGAAAGAACCAAUUACCAAAAG